GGAGGAUUCGGCUACUGCUAUACGCGUGCACGUCGAACGAUGAACCACUUCAGUGAGGAUGAGAUGGCGAACGGGUGAGUAACACGUGGGCAAUCUGCCCUGCGCUCUGGGACAAGCCCUGGAAACGGGGUCUAAUACCGGAUACUGAUCAUCUUGGGCAUCCUUGGUGAUCGAAAGCUCCGGCGGUGCACGAUGAGCCCGCGGCCUAUCAGCUUGUUGGUGAGGUAACGGCUCACCAAGGCGACAACAGGUAGCCGGCCUGAGAGGGCGACCGGCCACACUGGGACUGAGACACGGCCCAGACUCCUACAGGAGGCAGCAGUGGGGAAUAUUGCACAAUGGGCGCAAGCCUGAUGCAGCGACGCCGCGUGAGGGAUGACAGCCUUCGGGUUGUAAACCUCUUUCAGCAGGGAAGAAACGCACGUGACAGUACCUGCGCAAAAAACGCCGGCUAACUACGUGCCAGCAGCCGCGGUAAUACGUAUGGCGCGAGCGUUGUCCGGAAUUAUUGUGCGUAAAGAGCUCGUAUGCGGCUUGUCUCGUCGGUUGUGAAAGCCCGGGGCUUAACCCCGGGUCUGCACUCGAUACGGGCAGGCUAUAGUUCGGUAGGGGAGAUCGGAAUUCCUGGUGUAUCGGUGAAAUGCGCACAUAUCACGAGGAACACCGGUGGCGAAAGCGGAUCUCUGGGCCGAUACUGACGCUGAGGAGCGAAAGCGUGGGGAGCGAACAGGAUUAGAUACCCUGGGAGUCCACGCCGUAAACGGUGGGCACUAUGUGUGGGCGACAUUCCACGUCGUCCGUGCCGCAGCUAACGCAUUAUGUGCCCCGCCUGGGGAGUACAGCCGCAAGGCUAUAACUCUCAGGAAUUGACGGGGGCCCGCACAAGCGGCGGAGCAUGUGGCUUAAUUCUACGCAACGCGAAGAACCUUACCAAGGCUUGACAUACACCGGAAAGCGUCACAGAUGGUGCCCCCCUUGUGGUCGGUGUACAGGUGGUGCAUGGCUGUCUCCGCUCUCGUCGUGAGAUGUUGUGGUUAAUCCCGCACGAGCGCACCCUUGUCCGUGUGCCACAGGCCCUUGUGUGCUGGGGAUCUCGGAGACCCCCGGUCACUCCGAAGAAAGGGGGGAGAAAUCAAGUAUCUUGCCCCUUUUUUUUGGGUGCCCCCUGCUCAAUGGCCGGAAAUGAGUGGGAAACCCCGAGGGGAGGAAUUCAAAACCGGCCCCCUUUCGAUUAGGGUCGCACCCCCCCCCAAAGCGGAGCCUUAAAUCCAAAAAAAUUUUGGGGGAAAAUUCCCGGCUUUUAACCCCCCCCCCCCAAAAUGGAACCCACCGGGCAACCCCUUUGGGGA
RNAcentral lists this ribosomal RNA (1349 nucleotides) under Streptomyces lusitanus. RNAcentral describes it as "partial 16S ribosomal RNA". It matches the Rfam family "Bacterial small subunit ribosomal RNA". Lineage: Bacteria; Bacillati; Actinomycetota; Actinomycetes; Kitasatosporales; Streptomycetaceae. The record is from RNAcentral.